GAUGAAGUACGCAGCGAAAUGCGAUAAGUAAUGUGAAUUGCAGAAUUCAGUGAAUCAUCGAAUCUUUGAACGCACAUUGCGCCCGCCAGUAUUCUGGCGGGCAUGCCUGUUCGAGCGUCAUUUCAACCAUCAAGCCCCAGGCUUGUGUUGGAGCCCUGCGGCUGCCGCAGCCUCCCAAAACCAGUGGCGGGCUCGCUAUCACACCGAGUGCAGUAGUUUACUCUUCGCUCAGGGCGUGUGGCGGGUGCUAGCCGUAAAACCCCCAACUUCUCAAGGUUGACCUCGGAUCAGGUAGGAAUACCCGCUGAACUUAAGCAUAUCAAUAAGCGGAGGA
This 334-nucleotide unclassified non-coding RNA is filed under the name soil metagenome. RNAcentral describes it as "partial contains 5.8S ribosomal RNA, internal transcribed spacer 2, and large subunit ribosomal RNA". The stretch from base 1 to 120 matches the Rfam family "5.8S ribosomal RNA", at positions 35 to 154 of the family's 154-position model. The record is from RNAcentral.